RNAcentral lists this non-coding RNA (45 nucleotides) under Schistosoma margrebowiei. Lineage: Eukaryota; Metazoa; Platyhelminthes; Trematoda; Strigeidida; Schistosomatidae. The record is from RNAcentral.
AUCCAGCUGAUGAGCUCCAAGUAGGACGAAACGCGCUUCCUGAAU